CGGAUGGGGCUAGCGUUGUUCGGAAUUACUGGGCGUAUAGGGCGCGUAGGCGGCCAUUUAAGUUAGACGUGAAAGCCCUGGGCUUAACCUAGGAAUUGCGUUUAAUACUGGAUGGCUAGAGUUUGGUAGAGGAAAGCGGAAUUCCUAGUGUAGAGGUGAAAUUCGUAGAUAUUAGGAAGAACACCAGAGGCGAAGGCGGCUUUCUGGACCAAUACUGACGCUGAGGCGCGAAAGCGUGGGGAGCAAACAGGAUUAGAUACCCUGGUAGUCCACGCUGUAAACGAUGAAUGCUAAACGUUGGGGACUUUGUCUUCAGUGUUGCAGCUAACGCAUUAAGCAUUCCGCCUGGGGAGUACGGUCGCAAGAUUA
This 369-nucleotide ribosomal RNA is filed under the name uncultured organism. RNAcentral describes it as "bacterial SSU rRNA". It matches the Rfam family "Bacterial small subunit ribosomal RNA", at positions 526 to 896 of the family's 1533-position model. The record is from RNAcentral.